RNAcentral lists this long non-coding RNA (814 nucleotides) under Equus asinus (donkey). RNAcentral describes it as "lncRNA (ENSEASG00005031628.1)". The record is from RNAcentral. Lineage: Eukaryota; Metazoa; Chordata; Mammalia; Perissodactyla; Equidae.
ACAAAUAGAAAUUGUCAGCCAAAGCAAAACUGAAGAAAAUUUGUGGCCACCCACUAACAAUCAAUAAUAUACAUAAAAUGCUGUUGUCUUUUAUGGGCAAGCUAUAAGAAAAGAUCCAUCAGUAGACGUGUAGUAAAAACCUGGCUAAUUAUGCAUAUAACCAGAUAUUUGAUCCAAUUCAUUGGAAAGUCUGAAGAUACUGACCAGCCUGGAUAUCCAAGGAAGACUAGCCCUGAGCUACCAUCUGUUGCCAAUCCUCCUCUUUUUGCUGAGGAAGACUGGCCCUGAGCUAACAUCCAUGCCCGUCUUCCUCUACUUUAUAUGUGGGACGCCCACCACAGCAUGGCUUGCCAAGCGGUGCCAUGUCCACACCCGGGAUCCAAACUGGCGAACCCCUGGCUGCUGAAGCGGAAUGUGCAAACUUAACCGCUGCGCCACCAGGCCGGCCCCCACACAAAACUUAUUUUUAAGAAGAGUUAAAUCUUUUUAGAAAAAUUGCUCUGUGAACUAUUAACUCAAAUGACUAAAAUUUGUAUUUGAAAAUAAUCUGUCAGAAAUUUAUCCCAAUGUUAUCACUGUUUACAAAAUAUGCUUCACAGCUCCAGAAGGAUUCUUCUCAAAAUUAAAAAUUAUUGAAAAUCAAUUGUGAUGCAUUUGUCAAAACUGAUGGACAUCAUAUUCACUUAUAUUGAUUGAAAAUGAAUUGGCUAAAGUAUACAUUUUGAUGAAUUCAUAAAUAAAGUUGUAGAAAGGUUAGUUAAAAAUCUUAUGAUCAAUCAAGAUAUCUCAUUAAUAAAGUAUUCAUUUAUUGAAU